AAAAUAUAGUAAAUUUUAUUAAAGAAACAAUACAGAUAUUUAAAUGGUUAAAUAUAAAAACAGUACAAAAGAUAUUUAAAACAUGUUUAAUGGGAAAAUGUGCAACUUUUAGAUUUCAAAUUGAAACAAGGGCUGAUGUAACCUCACCCCUUUAUAAUCAGACUCUAGGACUUCACAGACUAUUAUUUUAAUUAUCAGGCAGGACUAGGUACAGAAUGCAUUGCACUCCUUUCCUUCCUUCCCUACCAUUGCUUGACCCAACCAUGACUCAAAGAAUGAGAAAACUUUUGCCUAAAACAUGAAACCAAGGUAUACAAAAUGCAACAUUUUUUAGACAUGGCUAAUGUGGGGAUUUGUUUUGCUUGACUAUACAUGUUACAUGGACUUUCUUUUUUCUUUUUCUCUCUAGUUGAGGGAGUUUUUUAACUGUAAAAAAUUUUUUUAAAAAUCAUUGUUUUAGCAAAAUAACGGUUUGGACAUGUAUACUUAUAUUGUAUUUAAUUUAUACUUUAACAUAUUUAACAUGUAUUGGUCAACCUGCCAUCUGGGGGAGGGGAUGGGGGGAAGGAGGGGGAAAAUUAGAACAAAAGGUUUGGCAAUUGUCAAUGCUAUAAAAUUACCCAUGCAUAUAACUUGUAAAUAAAAAGCUAUAAUUAAAAAAAGUAUUAAAAAAUAAAAUACAAUAAAUUCAACAACAAAAAAAUCAUUGUUUUGCAUAGCUUCACAUGUAGUUUAUUAAUGGAACUUAGGGGUGGGGACAAGGGAGAGAAUUGCGACCCAAGUUUUUUUUUUUUUUUUUUUAAUGUAAAAAAGUUAUUCUAAAUAUAACUGGGGGAAAUAUUAAAUAAAUGUGAUUUUUAAAAUAUUAUCAUUGCUACUGAGGGCAAGACAACCUACUGCCCCAUGACUUCACAUCAGAUGUCAUUUUGUAUAUACUUUUUAAUUUUCUGUCCUCAGUUACAUUCUAAUGGGGGAAGACUACCCAUAAAGAGGAGGUGAAAAGGGAAGAACAGCAGUACGAAUAUGGAGAUGGUCAGAAGUAACACAGAGGCCUAGUCCUAACAGAGUUAGAGUGAAUGCUCAUCUUUCAGAGCACAGAAUCCCAGGGGCAAAAUUCAAGGUCCACAGGGGAGAAAGAUGAAGAUGACAGAUAGAAGUGGUAUAAUGAAAGGAUGAGAUGGUCAGGAGUUCCUUAUACAAAAGAAAUCACAAGUCCAGGUUUUAUUCCCUCAUCCCUGACACCUAUUACAGUACAUGGUUUAUAAUCGGUGUUCAAUAUUAAUGCUUGGUGAACUGAGAAUUCAAUUACAUUCACAUUAAUGUCCAUAUUGUCUCUAACAAGACAAGGACACCACCUCAUCUUAUUGAAAUGGAAACUAUAAGUGAUGAGGUUUUGCUAUAAAGUUCAGAAUAUUUGUUUCUAGAUGUUACAUAUAGAAACAAUAGCUUGCUUUUUUAUAUAACAACCAAUUGGCAAUGCAUUUUCUUUGCAAUGCUAUGAAGUAGAUGAUAGGAGCAUUCUAGAGAUGAAGAAAUGGGAGUGACCUAUUCAUUUCCACUGAUAAAAUUAAAUUUAGUUGUACUAUUUAAAUAUCAUAGUACUAAGGACUUCAGUGGCAAGAACUUUUUCAUGCUACAGAACAUAAAGGGGAUAUGAUGGAAGCUUUUUUUUUUUUUUUUUUUUUUUAAGAUUGUAAGCUUUAAGAACUAUGUAGUUUUACAGAUGAGAAAAAUGAAACACACCUUUUGCCCAACAGAAUCCUUUAGAUCACUUUGAGAGGCAAAUGCUUUUAUGGUGCUUAGAUCUAAGCCAUUCUCUAGUCACA
RNAcentral lists this long non-coding RNA (1826 nucleotides) under Sarcophilus harrisii (Tasmanian devil). RNAcentral describes it as "lncRNA (ENSSHAG00000024567.1)". Lineage: Eukaryota; Metazoa; Chordata; Mammalia; Dasyuromorphia; Dasyuridae. The record is from RNAcentral.